GAUGAAGAACGUAGCGAAAUGCGAUAAGUAAUGUGAAUUGCAGAAUUCAGUGAAUCAUCGAAUCUUUGAACGCACAUUGCGCCCGCCAGUAUUCUGGCGGGCAUGCCUGUUCGAGCGUCAUUUCAACCAUCAAGCCUCAGGCUUGUGUUGGAGCCCUGCGGCUGCCGCAGCCUCCCAAAACCAGUGGCGGGCUCGCUAUCACACCGAGUGCAGUAGUUUACUCUUCGCUCAGGGCGUGUGGCGGGUGCUAGCCGUGAAACCCCCAACUUCUCAAGGUUGACCUCGGAUCAGGUAGGAAUACCCGCUGAACUUAAGCAUAUCAUAAGCGGAGGA
RNAcentral lists this unclassified non-coding RNA (333 nucleotides) under soil metagenome. RNAcentral's name for it is "partial contains 5.8S ribosomal RNA, internal transcribed spacer 2, and large subunit ribosomal RNA". The stretch from base 1 to 120 matches the Rfam family "5.8S ribosomal RNA", at positions 35 to 154 of the family's 154-position model. The record is from RNAcentral.